RNAcentral lists this ribosomal RNA (454 nucleotides) under uncultured Bacteroides sp. Its description in RNAcentral is "partial 16S ribosomal RNA". It matches the Rfam family "Bacterial small subunit ribosomal RNA", at positions 341 to 792 of the family's 1533-position model. The record is from RNAcentral. Lineage: Bacteria; Pseudomonadati; Bacteroidota; Bacteroidia; Bacteroidales; Bacteroidaceae.
ACGGGAGGCAGCAGUGAGGAAUAUUGGUCAAUGGGCGGAAGCCUGAACCAGCCAAGUCGCGUGAAGGAAGAAGGUAUUAUGUAUUGUAAACUUCUUUAGACGUAGAGAAAUAAGUGCCUCGUGAGGCAUGAUGCUAGUAUACGUAGAAUAAGGAUCGGCUAACUCCGUGCCAGCAGCCGCGGUAAUACGGAGGAUCCGAGCGUUAUCCGGAUUUAUUGGGUUUAAAGGGAGCGCAGGCGGUCUGUUAAGCGUGUGGUGAAAUGUAGGCGCUCAACGUCUAACGUGCCACGCGAACUGGCGGACUUGAGUGCGGUGAACGCUGGCGGAAUUCGUGGUGUAGCGGUGAAAUGCUUAGAUAUCACGAAGAACUCCGAUUGCGAAGGCAGCUGGCGGUACCGUUACUGACGCUCAUGCUCGAAAGUGUGGGUAUCGAACAGGAUUAGAUACCCUGGUA